Molecule: long non-coding RNA, 505 nt
Organism: Apis florea (little honeybee)
Lineage: Eukaryota; Metazoa; Arthropoda; Insecta; Hymenoptera; Apidae
Source: RefSeq, a predicted model, not a curated record
UAAAAUUGGUGAUAUUAGCUUUCACCUUCGCUUUCGUCUGUAUAAAAACAGAAGAGACAACACGAGAAUCUAGGCGGAGAAAAUAUAGGGUGCUAAACAUAGCUACCCUUUUUUGAAUUGUCGGCACCGUACAAAACUUGACUCUGAGAUGCAGUUCCAUUUUAGAACUUGUUUCGCUUCUUGCGUCUCGUUAAGACAGGUUCAAACACGCGACUCAAUGCUAGAUACGCAUUUCGCGACCUCUCGCGGUACGGUUUCCACGUCGAAUUGUCUUUCGCCUCGACGAUCACUUUCUUGACGCGAUCGCGUGGCCAACGCUCAUUCGAUGAACGUGCGACAUCUGAUGCGAGUGUGUCAAUGACUGGUGAAAGGUAUCAAUGGAUUUUCCUCUACUGACCCACGACAAGGAACUUUCAAUCUCUAGUCACCUACACGACGAUUACGCGCUUCUACUUACAUAAUCGAGGCAGUGUUGCAGGACUUGACACGAACCACCGGUAGGAAG